UUAAAUUGAAGAGUUUGAUCAUGGCUCAGAUUGAACGCUGGCGGCAGGCCUAACACAUGCAAGUCGAACGGUAACAGGAAGCAGCUUGCUGCUUUGCUGACGAGUGGCGGACGGGUGAGUAAUGUCUGGGAAACUGCCUGAUGGAGGGGGAUAACUACUGGAAACGGUGGCUAAUACCGCAUAACGUCGCAAGACCAAAGAGGGGGACCUUCGGGCCUCUUGCCAUCAGAUGUGCCCAGAUGGGAUUAGCUAGUUGGUGAGGUAACGGCUCACCAAGGCGACGAUCCCUAGCUGGUCUGAGAGGAUGACCAGCCACACUGGAACUGAGACACGGUCCAGACUCCUACGGGAGGCAGCAGUGGGGAAUAUUGCACAAUGGGCGCAAGCCUGAUGCAGCCAUGCCGCGUGUAUGAAGAAGGCCUUCGGGUUGUAAAGUACUUUCAGCGGGGAGGAAGGUGUUGUGGUUAAUAACCGCAGCAAUUGACGUUACCCGCAGAAGAAGCACCGGCUAACUCCGUGCCAGCAGCCGCGGUAAUACGGAGGGUGCAAGCGUUAAUCGGAAUUACUGGGCGUAAAGCGCACGCAGGCGGUCUGUCAAGUCGGAUGUGAAAUCCCCGGGCUCAACCUGGGAACUGCAUUCGAAACUGGCAGGCUUGAGUCUUGUAGAGGGGGGUAGAAUUCCAGGUGUAGCGGUGAAAUGCGUAGAGAUCUGGAGGAAUACCGGUGGCGAAGGCGGCCCCCUGGACAAAGACUGACGCUCAGGUGCGAAAGCGUGGGGAGCAAACAGGAUUAGAUACCCUGGUAGUCCACGCCGUAAACGAUGUCUACUUGGAGGUUGUGCCCUUGAGGCGUGGCUUCCGGAGCUAACGCGUUAAGUAGACCGCCUGGGGAGUACGGCCGCAAGGUUAAAACUCAAAUGAAUUGACGGGGGCCCGCACAAGCGGUGGAGCAUGUGGUUUAAUUCGAUGCAACGCGAAGAACCUUACCUGGUCUUGACAUCCACAGAACUUUCCAGAGAUGGAUUGGUGCCUUCGGGAACUGUGAGACAGGUGCUGCAUGGCUGUCGUCAGCUCGUGUUGUGAAAUGUUGGGUUAAGUCCCGCAACGAGCGCAACCCUUAUCCUUUGUUGCCAGCGGUUAGGCCGGGAACUCAAAGGAGACUGCCAGUGAUAAACUGGAGGAAGGUGGGGAUGACGUCAAGUCAUCAUGGCCCUUACGACCAGGGCUACACACGUGCUACAAUGGCGCAUACAAAGAGAAGCGACCUCGCGAGAGCAAGCGGACCUCAUAAAGUGCGUCGUAGUCCGGAUUGGAGUCUGCAACUCGACUCCAUGAAGUCGGAAUCGCUAGUAAUCGUGGAUCAGAAUGCCACGGUGAAUACGUUCCCGGGCCUUGUACACACCGCCCGUCACACCAUGGGAGUGGGUUGCAAAAGAAGUAGGUAGCUUAACCUUCGGGAGGGCGCUUACCACUUUGUGAUUCAUGACUGGGGUGAAGUCGUAACAAGGUAACCGUAGGGGAACCUGCGGUUGGAUCACCUCCUUACCU
This 1547-nucleotide ribosomal RNA is filed under the name Salmonella enterica subsp. enterica serovar Hadar. RNAcentral describes it as "bacterial SSU rRNA". It matches the Rfam family "Bacterial small subunit ribosomal RNA". Lineage: Bacteria; Pseudomonadati; Pseudomonadota; Gammaproteobacteria; Enterobacterales; Enterobacteriaceae. The record is from RNAcentral.